Molecule: ribosomal RNA, 708 nt
Filed under: Aeromicrobium sp. VO41-3
Lineage: Bacteria; Bacillati; Actinomycetota; Actinomycetes; Propionibacteriales; Nocardioidaceae
Description: bacterial SSU rRNA
Rfam family: Bacterial small subunit ribosomal RNA
Source: RNAcentral
AGGACGAACGCUGGCGGCGUGCUUAACACAUGCAAGUCGAGCGGUAAGGCUCCUUCGGGAGUACACGAGCGGCGAACGGGUGAGUAACACGUGAGCAAUCUGCCCUUCUCAUCGGAAUAACCAUUGGAAACGAUGGCUAAUGCCGAAUACGACCUCCCUUCGCAUGUUGGGAGGUGGAAAGCUCCGGCGGAGAAGGAUGAGCUCGCGGCCUAUCAGCUUGUUGGCGGGGUAACGGCCCACCAAGGCAACGACGGGUAGCCGGCCUGAGAGGGUGACCGGCCACACUGGGACUGAGACACGGCCCAGACUCCUACGGGAGGCAGCAGUGGGGAAUAUUGGACAAUGGGCGAAAGCCUGAUCCAGCAACGCCGCGUGAGGGAUGACGGCCUUCGGGUUGUAAACCUCUUUCAGCAGGGACGAAGCGAAAGUGACGGUACCUGCAGAAGAAGGACCGGCCAACUACGUGCCAGCAGCCGCGGUAAUACGUAGGGUCCGAGCGUUGUCCGGAAUUAUUGGGCGUAAAGGGCUCGUAGGCGGUCUGUCGCGUCGGGAGUGAAAACUCAGGGCUUAACCCUGAGCGUGCUUCCGAUACGGGCAGACUAGAGGGAUGCAGGGGAGAACGGAAUUCCUGGUGUAGCGGUGGAAUGCGCAGAUAUCAGGAGGAACACCGGUGGCGAAGGCGGUUCUCUGGGCAUUACCUGACGCUGA